This 305-nucleotide ribosomal RNA is filed under the name uncultured bacterium. RNAcentral's name for it is "bacterial SSU rRNA". It matches the Rfam family "Bacterial small subunit ribosomal RNA", at positions 335 to 657 of the family's 1533-position model. The record is from RNAcentral.
GCCCCUACGGGAGGCAGCAGUGGGGAAUAUUGCACAAUGGGGGGAACCCUGAUGCAGCGACGCCGCGUGAGUGAAGAAGUAUUUCGGUAUGUAAAGCUCUAUCAGCAGGGAAGAAGAUGGCGGUACCUGACUAAGAAGCCCCGGCUAACUACGUGCCAGCAGCCGCGGUAAUACGUAGGGGGCAAGCGUUAUCCGGAUUUACUGGGUGUAAAGGGAGCGUAGACGGCAGCGCAAGUCUGGAGUGAAAUGCCGGGGCCCAACCCCGGAACUGCUUUGGAAACUGUGCGGCUCGAGUGCGGGAGAGG